CCCCAACGGCGCUAUCGAUGUUCGGAAUUACUGGGCGUAAAGCGCACGUAGGCGGAUUAGUAAGUCAGGGGUGAAAUCCCGGGGCUCAACCUCGGAACUGCCUUUGAUACUGCUGAUCUCGAGUCCGGAAGAGGUGAGUGGAAUUCCUGGUGUAGAGGUGAAAUUCGUAGAUAUUAGGAAGAACACCAGUGGCGAAGGCGGCUCACUGGUCCGGUACUGACGCUGAGGUGCGAAAGCGUGGGGAGCAAACAGG
This 253-nucleotide ribosomal RNA is filed under the name uncultured bacterium. RNAcentral describes it as "partial 16S ribosomal RNA". It matches the Rfam family "Bacterial small subunit ribosomal RNA", at positions 524 to 776 of the family's 1533-position model. The record is from RNAcentral.